AUAGAUACCCGGUAGUCCACGCCGUAAACGAUGAGUGCUAAGUGUUAGGGGGUUUCCGCCCCUUAGUGCUGCAGCUAACGCAUUAAGCACUCCGCCUGGGGAGUACGGUCGCAAGACUGAAACUCAAAGGAAUUGACGGGGGCCCGCACAAGCGGUGGAGCAUGUGGUUUAAUUCGAAGCAACGCGAAGAACCUUACCAGGUCUUGACAUCCCAUUGACCACUAUGGAGACAUAGUUUUCCCUUCGGGGACAACGGUGACAGGUGGUGCAUGGUUGUCGUCAGCUCGUGUCGUGAGAUGUUGGGUUAAGUCCCGCAACGAGCGCAACCCUUGUUCUUAGUUGCCAUCAUUUAGUUGGGCACUCUAAGGAGACUGCCGGUGACAAACCGGAGGAAGGUGGGGAUGACGUCAAAUCAUCAUGCCCCUUAUGACCUGGGCUACACACGUGCUACAAUGGACGGUACAAACGGUUGCCAACCCGCGAGGGGGAGCUAAUCCGAUAAAACCGUUCUCAGUUCGGAUUGUAGGCUGCAACUCGCCUACAUGAAGCC
This 550-nucleotide ribosomal RNA is filed under the name uncultured bacterium. Its description in RNAcentral is "bacterial SSU rRNA". It matches the Rfam family "Bacterial small subunit ribosomal RNA", at positions 778 to 1327 of the family's 1533-position model. The record is from RNAcentral.